Molecule: transfer-messenger RNA, 355 nt
Filed under: Clostridia
Lineage: Bacteria; Bacillati; Bacillota
Also listed under: 2 other names
Description: SFKP01 sp004553715 Standard tmRNA
Rfam family: transfer-messenger RNA
About the family: Bacterial tmRNA, also known as 10Sa RNA or SsrA, is named for its dual tRNA and mRNA-like properties.
Source: RNAcentral
GGGGAUGUAUUUGGUUUCGACGAUAAUCUAGAAACAAAGAUAGCGAGUAGUGGAUGGUCGCUUUGGCCACUUUAAAAAAGCGAAAUAAAAAUAAACGCUGAUAGACAAUUAGCAUACGCUGCCUAAGUGCAACGUCGUCUUACCAUAGAGCCUACUUAAUAUGAAUAAGGCGUCGACUUAUAGUAGGAAACAAAAUUAUUUCUGCCUGGGAAUAAUGGGUAUCUAAAGGCUACCAAAAAAAUUCAAGCCUGUUUAUUUGCAAGAAUUUGAGGGAAUAAAAAAUAAUAAACUACACUCGUAGAAGUUUUUGUGGAAGGCUUAUUGGACGAGGGUUCGACUCCCUCCAUCUCCACCA